Molecule: non-coding RNA, 470 nt
Organism: Phascolarctos cinereus (koala)
Lineage: Eukaryota; Metazoa; Chordata; Mammalia; Diprotodontia; Phascolarctidae
Source: RefSeq, a predicted model, not a curated record
AAACCACAUAGCAAGGGAGCCCUUUUGCGUGGCUGGGACUUUCUCCACUGGAACCACAUUUCAGUAGAGAAUCAGAGUUGGAGACCUCCACUGAGUAGGCAUUUGAUGCCAAUUCUUGCACUAGGAUCCUAUGAUUUAAAAAAAGAAUUGACCUGUCAUCUGUGUAAUAUCUGCAGUGGCCAUUAAAAUGCUAAAUCAUCUGAGAAUGUACUACGUAUACAGUUCCUGAAAACGUAUGAAAAGCACUGUGUGCGGUCUCAGAGUUCUGUGUGCCCAGCUGUCGAGAAGGCUUUGAAAACCAGCAUAGAGAAUGAGCAGAUUCUCAGGAAGCUGAUGCUCGUAAGCCCUGCCGUCUCCCCAACAGGCUUCCCAGAAGUUUCUCUUGAACCUUUGCUCAAGACAAUUUGAGAUGAGCGUUACAUGCUGGGAAGAGAACUUUGCAUCUGAGGGAUGAAGCUGAAAAAUUCAGA